RNAcentral lists this signal recognition particle RNA (99 nucleotides) under bacterium. RNAcentral describes it as "signal recognition particle sRNA small type". It matches the Rfam family "Bacterial small signal recognition particle RNA". Rfam says of the family: The signal recognition particle (SRP) is a universally conserved ribonucleoprotein involved in the co-translational targeting of proteins to membranes. Archaeal SRP consists of a 7S RNA and homologues of the eukaryotic SRP19 and SRP54 proteins. The record is from RNAcentral.
GGUUGGGCUUCACGCGGCGUAAGCUUGUGAACCCCGCCAGGACCGGAAGGUAGCAACGGUAAGCGAGUCCUUACGGGUGCCGUGAAAUACCUCAACUCU